This 408-nucleotide ribosomal RNA is filed under the name uncultured bacterium. RNAcentral describes it as "partial 16S ribosomal RNA". It matches the Rfam family "Bacterial small subunit ribosomal RNA", at positions 28 to 526 of the family's 1533-position model. The record is from RNAcentral.
GACGAACGCUGGCGGCGUGCUUAACACAUGCAAGUCGAACGAAGUGGCGAACGGGUGAGUAACGCGUAAUCAACCUGCCCUUCAGAGGGGGACAACAGUUGGAAACGACUGCUAAUACCGCAUACUGAAGGAGGGGAUUGCGUCGGAUUAGCUAGUUGGAGGGGUAACGGCCCACCAAGGCGAUGAUCAGGAGCCUGGCUGGAAGGAGGAACGGCCACAUUGGGACUGAGACACGGGCCAGACUUCUACGGGAGGCAGCAGUGGGGGAUUUUUCGCAAUGGGGGAAAGUCUUACGGCGCACCGCCGCGUGAGUGAUGACAGCCUUCGGGUUUGAAAGCUCCGUUAAUCGGGACGCGGUACCGGAAUAGAAAGCAACGGCUAACUACGUGCCAGCAGCCGCGGUAAUUC